Molecule: ribosomal RNA, 165 nt
Filed under: uncultured bacterium
Lineage: Bacteria
Description: partial 16S rRNA
Rfam family: Bacterial small subunit ribosomal RNA
Source: RNAcentral
UAGGGAAUCUUCCACAAUGGACGAAAGUCUGAUGGAGCAACGCCGCGUGAGUGAAGAAGGUUUUCGGAUCGUAAAGCUCUGUUGUUGGUGAAGAAGGAUAGAGGCAGUAACUGGUCUUUAUUUGACGGUAAUCAACCAGAAAGUCACGGCUAACUACGUGCCAAG